CUGGUCUGUGUGUGGUGAAGUUGAGACGUUUUUUAGAUUUAAAUUUAUUUAUUGUAGUUUUGUAUUUCACCCCGUUUAGGGUUACAAUAAACGUUUGUCCCUUAUAACAGCUUGUGGUAUUUCCUUCUGAAUCAUGAUAUGGACAUAAUUAUAGCUCAUAGCUGCAGCACAUACAUGAGUAGCCCAUCAGUUGUCAAACAAAAGUCAAACUGCACCAGGAAAAUAUCCCCGACGCCGUCACACCAGCAGCCUGAACAGAUGACACAAGGCCGGAUGGAUCCACGCUGUCAAAUUCUGACUCGACCAUCUGAAUGAACUCAAAACUCAUCAGACCAGGCAACGUGCUGGAGCUGCUACCGUCGGGUUCGAUGAAGGACGCACGGACACAGGGGUCUACUUUACAAUAUACUUUAUUUUGCAGUAAGCAGGUUUGUGGCUUCGUUGCUCCGCUCCUCGGCCUUCCUUGCCCCGGAGCGUCUGCUCCAGUCUCUCGCUCAAAGUCCUGCUCACUGUUUAUGUCACGGAGACAAUCAGUCAGGAUGACUUUUCAGUUGUGAUGAUUACUCACCCUUCCCUGAACCACUCCCCCGCUCUGCAUCCGAGCUCACCACACCAAUCUUAUGUCCAUUGUGGUGAUCCUGUGUGAAUAGUCUCCUGGUCUUAGCGGACAGGAGCUGUGGUCCCCCGGAGACCCCCGCUGUGGUCUCCUGCUGCUGUAGCCGCAGGUUGUGCACGUGUUGUGCGUUCAGAGAUGCAAUUCUGCACUCCUUGGGUGUAACGAGUGCUUAUUUGAGUUCCUGUUGCAGUCAUCGUGAACCAGUCUGGCCAUUCUCAUUUCGUCCACACAACACUCGCUGGGUAUUUCAUCUUUUUGGGACCGUUCGCUUUAAAACUGUCGUCACACUGAUAUCAUUUCAUUUAUGAUGACAUACACAAUGAGAAAACUGCUCCCAAAUGCCAGGUGGGCCACAUAAACAGGAUUAGUACAAACUUAUCGUUGUGUGACACCAAGUAGAGGGGGGGGCCUGUUUUACUUCCAACUAAACAGGUAGAGGGGGGGGGGGGUUCUCGUGCCGGACUGAACAAUACAGAGGUUCGGUUUACUCCAGGAACAGAGAUCAUAUUGUUGUACAAAACAAUAAUCAGGAAACAUUGAUUAGCCAAAAUAUGUCAAACAUACAAGGAAUUUGUCUUGGCGGUUAGUGCGCGACAGUAGACAGACAAGACAACAGUGCACAGGUAAUAAAAAUAAAGUGGAAUGAAAUGCUAAUGCAAUGGGUUAGUAAGAAUAAGGCUAAGGCUAUGGGUUAGUAUAAAACAGGGGAAUAAAGUUAAACAAAUUUUAAAUAUUAAGUUGAAAAAUAUUAAGCAUAAAGUGCACUAACAAACAAGUAACAAACAAGAGACAAAGUGACAAGUGACAAAGUGAUGAAUCGCAGUUAAAGUGGCAUGUGCAGUGUGAAGGGAAGUGACCGGUGGAGUGUUAUAGUCAGGCAGUGGGGGACCGGGCUCUGUUGAUGAGCCCGACUGCCGACGGGAAGAAACUGUAUAAUGUAUUCGUACAUCAGUAAAAAACAAACGCCGUAAAACAAUCUGUACUUGCCCGGGUCCCUAACCACGGUGAGGAUAGGGCGAGCGUCUGCGUGGAGGCAGCGAGUCUCCCAGUACAUCUAAUCACCCGUGCAACCUAUAAACAUGCAACACACACACACACACACACACGCACACGCGCACACGCGCGCACACACUGCAACUCACUCAACGGCAAAACAAAGUGCGUUAAAAACUGUUCAUGCAAUAUCACACCACAUGCUAAAAUCUAAAUCUAAGAAAAUACCCACGCUAUUCCUCCACACAACGGGCACCCCCCGCUCGAAAUAAAUGAAAAUAACAGUAGGCAAGUACACGAAAAAAAAACCGGAGCGCAGGACGCAUACAAUGUUAUGAUACCAGCUAGUUACAAUUGCUAAUCGCUACUCGCACCCGGAUACGGCAAAACAGCAGUUUGUGCGCCACCUGGAAAGGCUGAGGAGCUAAACCCUCCCCAACGACGUCCGAAGGGACUCCACUCGGCCGGCAAAACCUGCAAGGUUGAGAUCUGUAAGCUGACAAUUUCCCCCAUAACAAAUAACCCACCAGUUAGCGACCUACCUGCUACCUCUCCUUUCAGCGGACUGCUAGGAACGGGAGACGGCCCGUAAAAUAGGGGGCUCAUUGAUGACGUCAUCCCGACCCUUUGGUACUACCCGUCACAUCUGCAACUGGUUUACACCAUGAAACUGCAGUGGUGAUGGAAACACUUCAAUAAAUGUAUUUGCAUUUUUACUAUUGUCGCCAUGAAUCUAUGGAGUGCGAUCAGUCUCAUUAAUUACAAAUUCAAACAAAAGAAUUCACAUUUAAUUUACAAAUAAAUGUGACUCCCACAAUAUUGGUUAAAAGGUCGCCAAAAUUACCAACAAUGCUGUCAAUAUAUCCGGG
This is a long non-coding RNA of Gasterosteus aculeatus aculeatus (three-spined stickleback), 2478 nucleotides long. The record is from Ensembl. Lineage: Eukaryota; Metazoa; Chordata; Actinopteri; Perciformes; Gasterosteidae.